Molecule: RNA transcript, 2147 nt
Organism: Panicum hallii
Lineage: Eukaryota; Viridiplantae; Streptophyta; Magnoliopsida; Poales; Poaceae
Exons: 4
Source: RefSeq, a predicted model, not a curated record
UUCUCGGACGGGACUUCUCUCUCUCGCCCCCUUUCUAUUCUCCUCUCUCUCUCUCUCUCGCUCGCUCGCUCGGCCGGCCUUCUUUCCAAGCGGCGACGACAGGGGAGUGGCGCCCCCCUUGCCAGUUCUUCGUCGGGCGCUUCCCCGGCCGACAAGGUGGAGCUGCAGGACCAGUAAGGAGUGCUCGUGCCAAUCUCUUUAAUUGCAUAUGGUAUCAGAAGGGAGUAUUAAUGACUGGAUGAUCCUUUGGGCAAAAUGGAAGGAAAUAAUCUACCCUCUGGAAGCUUGAUGCAAGGAACACCUUAUGGUAGUUUAGACUUGCAUCAUAAUCAUGUGCAAAUGCACGCACCAAACUCCGGAAACCAGGGCUUCAACCACCCUCAGAUGGCCAGCAAUUUCCCCGUUCAUCUGAAUCAGGUUACAGAUUCCGAUCAGCUGUCUGAAUUUCAAUUUGGAGAACAUGGCAAGGCCAACCAUCACCACCACCACCAGCAGCAGCAGCAGCAAACAAAGAAUAGCAUGAGCGAUGAUGAGGAACAUGGUGUCAAUGAGGAUGCCACUGACAGCCAGACCGGCAAGGGCAAGAAGGGCUCGGCAUGGCAUCGGAUGAAGUGGACUGAUUCAAUGGUUAAGCUUUUAAUUACUGCAGCAUCUUACACCGGGGAGGAUCCAGGAGUUGAUUCAGGAGGUGGUAGGAGGAACUGUGCAAUGAUGCAGAAGAAAGGCAAGUGGAAGGCCAUAUCAAAAGUCAUGGGUCAGCGAGGCUGCCUUGUAUCGCCACAGCAGUGUGAGGAUAAGUUCAAUGACCUCAAUAAGAGGUAUAAGAGGCUUACAGAUCUCCUUGGUCGGGGUACUACUUGCAGAAUUGUGGCGAAUCCAGAACUUCUGGGUAGCAUGACUAAUCUCUCAGAUAAGACGAAAGAUGAUGCGAGGAAGAUAUUGAGCUCUAAACACUUGUUCUAUGAGGAGAUGUGCUCCUACCACAACAAUAAUCGGUUUAGUUUACCUGAAGAUCCUGCACUUCAGCAUUCAUUGCAGCUUGCUCUUAAGUGUAAAGAUGAGCAUGAUGCAAGGAGGAGAACCAGUGGAGAUGCUGAUGAAGGUUAUCAAAGUGCGGACACUGAUUAUGAGGAAGAGAAUGAUGAUGAGCAUCCAGCAGUGCAUGUCAAUAAGGGGACCCUGCCCAUGCAUAAAAGAAUGCGGUACAUGGUGGAUCAGGAGGAUGUAGGUUUCGGCAACUCUUCAAGCUCACAUGACUGUAGCAGGAGAUCUGAUCCCCAUAGCAUUUCAGUGGAUAUUAACAAAGUUUUCCCGGAUGGAACUAACUUGGCUUUGGUGCAAAAAGACUUGGCUACACAGUCUGCGGCUAUUGAGAAACAGCGCAUGGAAAUUGAAGCUGAGGCGCUGGAUCUUGCAAAGCAACGCCACAAGUGGGAGAGAUUUAGUAAGAAGAAGGACAGAGAACUGGAAAAGAUGAGGUUGGAGAAUGAACAAAUGAAGAUUGAGAAUAGACGUUUGGAGCUGGAGGUAAGACACAAGGAGUUGGACCUUGAACUCAGGCUAAAAGGCAAUGGCAGUCAGGCAUGACGUGAUGACAUCUAAUAAAUUGCAAAGGCUGACUUGCAAGAUGAUGUUACAGAGUAAGUUCAACCUUCAACGAGAACUUGAAAGUUGAAACAGCAAUGCACGCUUAGGGAGCCAUGCUGUCCUUGAGAUAUCUUGGCUGAUGUACACUAAGAGUUAUAAUGGUUGCUUAUGGCAUUGAUGUUAGAGUACUUCAAGAAAAUUGACAAGGACAGCAUUGAGCCGCCGACCAUGCAUUUUUCUAGGGGUUGCAGCGGAGAAGAAAUGGUUUUAUGAUGCCAACGAUGGUUCCGUUCAAAUUGUACUUCUUCCUUGCAAUAUCAUUUGUAUAUUGGAGCGGCCAAUUUGUACUGUAGCUUUGAAUUCUAUUUGCGUGCUAUGCGCUGUUAUUCUGUUGUAAAUUUCCACGUACAGCUGUAUCAUGGUCAGAUUGUUCAUCCAGAAUUUGAGCUGCCAUGCAGACUAGCCUAGCCCUGUUUAUUAAGUGUGUAGUUCCUUGAUGUAGGUCAACUGCUUCUUGAGUGAUAAAAACUGGCUUGGCGCCUCCUAGGCUGUGAGUUUAA